CCUACGGGUGGCAGCAGUGGGGAAUAUUGCACAAUGGAGGAAACUCUGAUGCAGCGACGCCGCGUGAGCGAUGAAGUAUUUCGGUAUGUAAAGCUCUAUCAGCAGGGAAGAAAAUGACGGUACCUGACUAAGAAGCCCCCGCUAACUACGUGCCAGCAGCCGCCGUAAUACGAAGGGGGCGAGCGUUAUCCGGAUUGACUGGGGGGAAAGGGAGCGUAGACGGUGCUGCAAGCUAGAUGUGAAAGCCCGGGGCUCAACCCCGGAACUGCAUUUGGAACUGUUAGGCUAGAGUGCCGGAGAGGCAGGCGGAAUUCCUAGUGUAGCGGUGAAAUGCGUAGAUAUUAGGAGGAACACCAGUGGCGAAGGCGGCCUGCUGGACGAUGACUGACGUUGAGGCUCGAAAGCGUGGGGAGCAAACAGGAUUAGAUACCCCAGUAGUC
Molecule: ribosomal RNA, 440 nt
Filed under: uncultured bacterium
Lineage: Bacteria
Description: partial 16S ribosomal RNA
Rfam family: Bacterial small subunit ribosomal RNA
Source: RNAcentral